AGCCACCCACCGCGCCGAAGCAUUUUCCUCCCUUUUUUCUACUUCGACGACAGUGGCAGCGAUUCCGCAUCGAAGCGGCGGCGCACGAGAAGCAUCCCAUCCUCCUUCUCCUCCUCCUCCUCGUUCUCUAUCUCUCGCCAUUUCUGUCUAGCCCUUUCUCAGAGACUCUGACUUCCCCUAUGCUCUUCCACCAACCUUGGAGCCCACCCGACACUGCUAUGGAAGUGAGCGCUGGCGGUGGGGAACGGGGGCAUCAGGGAGCCGGAGAACGGACGUGCCAGCGGCGGGUUACCUAGAACGGAGGAGCACCGAGCUGACGAAUAGAUCAGCAAGGCAGUCCCGAUUUGACGCAUAUGUUUGAUUUCGACAGUGAACAACAUUAUUUCAGGAAUAUAGACUACUGAUGUGUGUUCAUCCAUGCCAUACACUACUUGUGUGUGUUCAUCCAGGGGUGCGUGUGUUUGAUGUUGGCGUUCCCCUUUGAUGUAUGUUUGAUAGAUGGUGUAAAAACCAACACUACUAUAGCCCCUGCAAUAUUAACAUUGGAUUCUAGAUCCACCGAGAAUUUCGGCAUAGCGUUCAGUUGGGUUCCAGCGUCAUUAAGGUGAUAGAUUUUUUUUCUAACUUAAGGAAAAAGUUUGCUGUAAUGGAAUGGGCAGAACGAUUGUAUAAUGAGCUAAUUUGAAAAAUGCAUAAUUUUUUUCACAAUUCCAUAAAAAAGUGUGUCAUUAUAAGAAUA
Long non-coding RNA from Triticum aestivum (bread wheat), 739 nucleotides. RefSeq lists it as uncharacterized. Lineage: Eukaryota; Viridiplantae; Streptophyta; Magnoliopsida; Poales; Poaceae. The transcript has 2 exons. The record is from RefSeq and is a predicted model, not a curated record.